Molecule: long non-coding RNA, 855 nt
Filed under: Homo sapiens (human)
Lineage: Eukaryota; Metazoa; Chordata; Mammalia; Primates; Hominidae
Description: HSALNT0221698
Source: RNAcentral
CCUCCUUCCCUAGGAUGACCUCGCAGUCCUUGGGGAUGCGGACUGUUUAAUUAGAACACCUUCAGUCGGAAACGCUCAUCCAUUUAUAGGGAAAACAGCAACAGGCUUUUAAGGACAUGCCAUAAGUUUUACAGUUAUUGGAUUUUUCAACUUGUUUACAAAAGCAAUAUUGUUAAAUGGCCAACGGCCAGGCCCAGUUGUUUUUCCUCCUGUGCCUUCUGACGACAGGAAGGCAUAUUAUCUCCCCCCAGCCAGCUCCCGGGAGCCAGAUCUGCUCUGGAAUGCAGCAAAGAGCUCCUUCCUGCUUUCUCAGCCCCUGCAGCAGCUCCUGCUUCACUCCAAGAAAAUGCCAGCCCCCUAAGAACCUGUCCCUUUGGAACAGUGGAUCCAAAAGCUGACCCAAGAGACCUUGAACUUAACACCUCUGUGUCAUGGGCUCCUUAAUGAUAGAAAGAAGAUUGCUUUAGAAGACUGGUUUGCAAACCAGUCUGCUGGGCACUAGAAGCCUUGGGAAGAUUUGAAAAAUAAAUCUUAUUGGCCUCACCAUUUCACAUUCUGACUUAGAGGGUGUGGGCUCUCUAAUCUGAUUGUGUUUUUUUCUGUUUUUGUUUUUGUUUUUGAGACAGAGUCUUACUCUUUUGCCCAGGCUGGAGUGCAGUGGCGCGAUCUCGGCUCACUGCAACCUCCACCUCCCAGUUUCAAGCGAUUCUCCUGCCUCAGCCUCCCGAGUAGCUGGAAUUACAGGCAUGCACCACCACACCUAACUAAUUUUUGUAUUUUUAGUAGAGACGGGGUUUCACCAUGUUAGCCAGGCUGAUCAUGAACUCCUGACCUCAAGUGAUCCGUCCACCUUGG